RNAcentral lists this long non-coding RNA (1699 nucleotides) under Anas platyrhynchos platyrhynchos (common mallard). RNAcentral describes it as "lncRNA (ENSAPLG00000019948.1)". The record is from RNAcentral. Lineage: Eukaryota; Metazoa; Chordata; Aves; Anseriformes; Anatidae.
UCUGGGAGUUGUAGCGUGCCCUCGUGCUUUGUUUAUCAGGAUUCAUCCUUGACUCCCUCACAACACAAUAAGUCAAUACAGAUCUGCACAGCAGUCGGAGCUCCAGACAAAGCUGCAAGGUUUGGUGCAGCAGCCAGAAACGUCCCUGGGGCUGGACCCCAGUGAGGGGCCACCCCACAUUCCCAUGUCCCAGCUGGUACCUGGGGAAAUCAGGAGGUGUUCCCUGCCUGCCCAGUCAAUCCCUCUGCACAGCAAGGACCCAGCAGCAUUUAUUUCUGUAGUGAGACUGGCAGUGCAAACCCUGACAAUGAACUUUCUUCGGUUGGAAGACAAAGGAUAUUCUGGUUGAUUUGUGGUGGAGUUGGUGUCUUCCAUAUUACGCAGGAAGUAUCUGAUGCACCAGAAGUGGUGGUGGAGAGGCUUUGCUGAAAAGCUUUUGAACCUCUGGCCCCAGAAGAUAGCUCUUAUCCAGGAGGAGCUUUGCAACACUGUUUACUUUCAUUCUUCGGAGGCUGAUCAAGCCGUUCCAGCAGGGAAUGUGUUUCGGUGGAGCAUGGGCCAUGCCAGCCUUCCUCCCAGCGUGAAUGCUGCGAUGUCCAAGGGCACUACAGCACCUUCAGCCUGGCUCCAAAGCACGCGGCUCGAUGCUUGGCUGCGGGACAAGCUUCACAGUAUAUAUAACCUGGACAAAGGGGGAGGAAUAGAGGGACGCAAUGGAAAUCUGCGAGCUGAGGAAACGCUUGUGUAAAUGCAAAAGCCUACAAGGGGCAAAUGGCAGCUGCUUUUCCUUUCGCUGGUAUUUUGUAUCUCAAAAGCCGUCCUGCAAAAAUCCAGAUGGGAACCUAACCCGCUCCCUUGCUCUAACGGCAUCGAUCCUGUCCCUCCUAGCACCCCUCAGCAGCACAAGCGUGGUGAUAGGAGCCGCGGUGUUCGGAUGACUUCAGUUCUGACUCAGAAAGGUGUUUACGAACAGAAAUGUCACGGCGAGCCUGAGCCAUAAGGGUUUUACUAUCCCCUGCUUGUUGCUCACUGUGAUGCUCCUUAAAGGAGCCCAGCUUGAAAGAAGAGAAGGAAAUGAGCUCUGGUCAGGCUGGGAGCCCCAGUAACUCCUGGAGCCUCUGGUCGCACACAGAUGCAAGUGUGCAACAGCCCCGUUCAGUCCUGCGGAGCUGCUCGGGUGUGUAAAGUUACACACCAGGGUACUGCGGCCACGGGGUAGGUGAUGCAGCUAUCCUUAUAUUUGCCGCUGUGCAUUUUUCACAUACUUAAGUGUUUGCCCAGUUAUAUCUCUCAUGGAGCUCAGUAGCGGCCAGUUUAAGGACAAAGACAGGAGAAGGAUGGAGUAGGGUUUCUGUGCCAUAGCUGCGUGCUGGCCCCAUGACAGCUCAUGCUCCUCUCUUUAGCUCAGUGUGAGUUACCAGACCUUAAAUAUUCCCUUUUCCUGGAACAAUAGGAGAGCUCCUACAAAUCUGUUAGGUUUGGUUACAGUUGUGCUCCCGCACCAAUUUAUUUUGACGUUGAUCGUACCGCAGAUAACUCCCCCAAAGCGCGAAGCCCUUCGGCCUGCAGCAGCCGGCAGGGCUGUGUCCCCUCGCACCACGCCAGAGCCCCCAAACCAGCUGCAUCCUCUCAGUGACUCUCAGGUUCCCUUUGUGCUGCGAGCGGUGGCACAAUAAAGGGACUGUUCACGAUUCCUCCA